Molecule: ribosomal RNA, 274 nt
Filed under: uncultured bacterium
Lineage: Bacteria
Description: partial 16S ribosomal RNA
Rfam family: Bacterial small subunit ribosomal RNA
Source: RNAcentral
AUACGGAGGGGGCUAGCGUUGUUCGGAAUUACUGGGCGUAAAGCGCGCGUAGGCGGGCUGGUCAGUUGGGGGUGAAAUCCCGAGGCUUAACCUCGGAACUGCCCUCAAUACUGCCAGUCUUGAGUUCGAGAGAGGUGAGUGGAAUUCCUAGUGUAGAGGUGAAAUUCGUAGAUAUUAGGAAGAACACCAGUGGCGAAGGCGGCUCACUGGCUCGAUACUGACGCUGAGGUGCGAAAGCGUGGGUAGCAAACAGGAUUAGAAACCCGAGUAGUCC